Megalobrama amblycephala (Wuchang bream) is the source of this 1550-nucleotide long non-coding RNA. RefSeq lists it as uncharacterized. Lineage: Eukaryota; Metazoa; Chordata; Actinopteri; Cypriniformes; Xenocyprididae. The transcript is spliced from 2 exons. The record is from RefSeq and is a predicted model, not a curated record.
UGAAGGAUCAUGUGACACUGAAGACUGAAGUAAUGAAUGAUGCUGAAAAUUCAGCUUUGCCAAUAAUAAAUUACAUUUUAAAAUUUAGUAGUCAACAUUUGAAGUGGAUCAAAACCUUUCAUCAAUGUUGUCCUUAAACCUUCCUCUUAGGACAACUUCAAAUGUUUACUACUGUACAUUAAAUAAGAAAUGUUAUUUUCAAAUUGUAGCAUUUCACAGUAUUACAGUAUUUUAUAAUAAAAUAAAUGCAGCCUUGGUGAGGAUAAGAGACGUCUUACUGAUCCCUUGAAUGGUAGUGUACAUACAACUGUAUACUAUUUUAAUAGUGUUGUUUUGAGUCAGAGGGUUUUUUAAAACUGCCUGGUCUUCUUCUUUAGAACUGUCAACAUUUCAGAGUAAGAGAGAAAUAUCCGUUACAUUGAAUGAUGGGGGUUGUGAUGGAUCUGGUUCCCAGCAGCGAAGAGGGAAUUAACACAUGAUCAUUUGUGUUCUUGGCUGGCAGUCAGCCCAGUACUGUAACCCAACCUGCCUGAGCUCAAUCAAACACUGAUCGUCACUAAAAAAAGGCACACUAGCUCAUCAGAUCUCCCCCGCCUCCAUCCACACAUGCAGAACGAUCUACUUCCCCUUCCCGUUGUCAUGGUGACAGUUGUGCUGGAAAUCCUCUUCAAUGAUAUGACUGACUGAUCAUGAGAUAAACCAUUAAUAGCUUCCUUUUACAAAAACCACAACACAUGAAGUAAUAGUGUAAAAUAGGACUGUGCAUCAACAGACAUAAAUUCCCCAAAGAAUUACUCAUUUCAUAAGAACUUGUAAUUUAAAUCAAAUCCACAGUAGUAAAAGAAAAGAAACCGGUUUAUUUUAAAUGAUUUAUUUAAUUGAUUCUGUAUUCUACCACGUCACAUUGGUCCAAAUGGCACAGUUGUGACAGUUCCAGUGCAACAUAAUCACGGACCUCACAGGUAUUAGUUAUCAGCGUCACUCUUUACCCAGUGGCUUCUUUGCGUAUUAUACAGGUUUGAGUCAUUGCAUUAAGACGGCUUAAAGUGCAGGGUCAGUACCACGGAGAUGAGCUUGUCUGGUCACCUGAGUCGGCUAGAAUGAAGCAGGGACAUUACAACUUACUCCGGCUGGAAUGAAUCCUGAGCUAGAGCUACAAUUAUGACAUCAGCGACCACACCAACAAUCCAUUCUUCUCCUGGGAUUGUAACGGAAAAGACGCUAAUGCUAUUCCUGCUGUGUCAGGACAGAGUUCGGGAGGAGGGUGGGUGAGGAGUGAAGCAAAGGAUGGACGAAGAGAGCGAUGGUUUCUUCUGCCUCGUCAAACAGCAGCAACCUCAUUUACUCCUCCUUUUCAAAAACUCAUCCACUUAUCUCCAUAUUUCCUCUAAGUCGGUUUUGACGGCCCCGAGCGUGUCUUUGCUCUAAAAAAAGACCAAAGUGCUAGUUAAAAAUAGAACUGAGAGAAAGGAGAAACGAGUAAGAAAAAAGGUAUAAUUAAAGCCACAAAAAAGAAUAUUAAAUAAAAAAGUAAAGCAAUAUUAUACAAA